AGUCGAGCGGAUGAAGAGAGCUUGCUCUCUGAUUCAGCGGCGGACGGGUGAGUAAUGCCUAGGAAUCUGCCUGGUAGUGGGGGACAACGUCUCGAAAGGGACGCUAAUACCGCAUACGUCCUACGGGAGAAAGCAGGGGACCUUCGGGCCUUGCGCUAUCAGAUGAGCCUAGGUCGGAUUAGCUAGUUGGUGAGGUAAUGGCUCACCAAGGCGACGAUCCGUAACUGGUCUGAGAGGAUGAUCAGUCACACUGGAACUGAGACACGGUCCAGACUCCUACGGGAGGCAGCAGUGGGGAAUAUUGGACAAUGGGCGAAAGCCUGAUCCAGCCAUGCCGCGUGUGUGAAGAAGGUCUUCGGAUUGUAAAGCACUUUAAGUUGGGAGGAAGGGCAGUAAAUUAAUACUCUGCUGUUUUGACGUUACCGACAGAAUAAGCACCGGCUAACUCUGUGCCAGCAGCCGCGGUAAUACAGAGGGUGCAAGCGUUAAUCGGAAUUACUGGGCGUAAAGCGCGCGUAGGUGGUUUGUUAAGUUGGAUGUGAAAGCCCCGGGCUCAACCUGGGAACUGCAUUCAAAACUGACAAGCUAGAGUAUGGUAGAGGGUGGUGGAAUUUCCUGUGUAGCGGUGAAAUGCGUAGAUAUAGGAAGGAACACCANNGGCGAAGGCGACCACCUGGACUGAUACUGACACUGAGGUGCGAAAGCGUGGGGAGC
Molecule: ribosomal RNA, 714 nt
Filed under: Pseudomonas sp.
Lineage: Bacteria; Pseudomonadati; Pseudomonadota; Gammaproteobacteria; Pseudomonadales; Pseudomonadaceae
Description: bacterial SSU rRNA
Rfam family: Bacterial small subunit ribosomal RNA
Source: RNAcentral